Podarcis raffonei (Aeolian wall lizard) is the source of this 726-nucleotide long non-coding RNA. RefSeq lists it as uncharacterized. The record is from RefSeq and is a predicted model, not a curated record. NCBI's taxonomy places the organism in Eukaryota, Metazoa, Chordata, Lepidosauria, Squamata, Lacertidae. The transcript has 3 exons.
CCUUGGACCUUUAAAGGCCACCAGGAUGAGGCAAGAAGUCAAGAAGGUUCCUUUCGGCCUUAUAUAAUUGAUGUCUUGAACUAGGCACCUCAAACUGCGCAGUGUCUGCCCUGAAAGCCUGCGAUUUCUCAGCUGCUAGCCUUCCAAAGCUGUCUCUCCAUACAAAAGGCAUUCCAAUGGAGCAGAGCUUGUUUCUUGGUAAUCGAAGGCCACGUCUGCUUCAGGUCUGGCUGCUUACAUUCUGUGUUCUGCUUUUGCUCAGGACUGGUGGCGCUGUGAAAUGCAGACUGUGCUCUUCAAAGGGGCCUGGCAAGCCAUGCGAACCGAAGGAGAAGACAUGUAUGGGACCAUUCUGCCUGAAGAUAGAAAUAUUUUCAGGACAAAAUGGCAAAUUGACUAAUUACGUCAAAGAAUGUGGUGAAGCCAGUUCGAAAAAACUCUGUGGGACAGAGGUGACAUCGGGAGAUAAAAAGAAAGUAUCAUGCUGUAAUAGCGACUUAUGUUUUGACUGAUCUUACUAUUCUAUUCUAAAGUUGUUUUCGCCUAUACAUGUAAAAGGGUGGGUAACCAAUCUUUCCCCUUUGAUAGACAUAAUAUUAGAACGUUUCAUAUCAUUUCUUUCGAUGGAGCCCAGGUCUUCCUCCUGCCAUUGCAAUUCAAAUGACAGACAAAAGCCCCAUGCAGACAUUCUGAUGCCACGUCUAAUAAUCACAUUCAGGGGAUGUU